RNAcentral lists this ribosomal RNA (787 nucleotides) under Bacillus subtilis. RNAcentral describes it as "bacterial SSU rRNA". It matches the Rfam family "Bacterial small subunit ribosomal RNA", at positions 52 to 822 of the family's 1533-position model. Lineage: Bacteria; Bacillati; Bacillota; Bacilli; Caryophanales; Bacillaceae. The record is from RNAcentral.
UACUGCAAGUCGAGCGGACAGAUGGGAGCUUGCUCCCUGAUGUUAGCGGCGGACGGGUGAGUAACACGUGGGUAACCUGCCUGUAAGACUGGGAUAACUCCGGGAAACCGGGGCUAAUACCGGAUGCUUGUUUGAACCGCAUGGUUCAAACAUAAAAGGUGGCUUCGGCUACCACUUACAGAUGGACCCGCGGCGCAUUAGCUAGUUGGUGAGGUAACGGCUCACCAAGGCAACGAUGCGUAGCCGACCUGAGAGGGUGAUCGGCCACACUGGGACUGAGACACGGCCCAGACUCCUACGGGAGGCAGCAGUAGGGAAUCUUCCGCAAUGGACGAAAGUCUGACGGAGCAACGCCGCGUGAGUGAUGAAGGUUUUCGGAUCGUAAAGCUCUGUUGUUAGGGAAGAACAAGUACCGUUCGAAUAGGGCGGUACCUUGACGGUACCUAACCAGAAAGCCACGGCUAACUACGUGCCAGCAGCCGCGGUAAUACGUAGGUGGCAAGCGUUGUCCGGAAUUAUUGGGCGUAAAGGGCUCGCAGGCGGUUUCUUAAGUCUGAUGUGAAAGCCCCCGGCUCAACCGGGGAGGGUCAUUGGAAACUGGGGAACUUGAGUGCAGAAGAGGAGAGUGGAAUUCCACGUGUAGCGGUGAAAUGCGUAGAGAUGUGGAGGAACACCAGUGGCGAAGGCGACUCUCUGGUCUGUAACUGACGCUGAGGAGCGAAAGCGUGGGGAGCGAACAGGAUUAGAUACCCUGGUAGUCCACGCCGUAAACGAUGAGUGCUAAGUG